GAUGAAGAACGUAGCGAAAUGCGAUAAGUAGUGUGAAUUGCAGAAUUCAGUGAAUCAUCGAAUCUUUGAACGCACAUUGCGCCCUUUGGUAUUCCUUAGGGCAUGCCUGUUCGAGCGUCAUUUAAACCUUCAAGCUAAGCUUGGUGUUGGGUGACUGUCCGCUUCACGGCGGACUCGCCUCAAAAUUAUUGGCGGCCGGUACAUUGGCUUCGAGCGCAGCAGAAACGCGAACUCGGGCCCGUCGUAUUGGCUCCCAGAAGCUAUCUUCACAAUUUUGACCUCGGAUCAGGUAGGGAUACCCGCUGAACUUAAGCAUAUGAAUAAGCGGAGGA
RNAcentral lists this unclassified non-coding RNA (332 nucleotides) under soil metagenome. RNAcentral's name for it is "partial contains 5.8S ribosomal RNA, internal transcribed spacer 2, and large subunit ribosomal RNA". The stretch from base 1 to 120 matches the Rfam family "5.8S ribosomal RNA", at positions 35 to 154 of the family's 154-position model. The record is from RNAcentral.